Talpa occidentalis (Iberian mole) is the source of this 1140-nucleotide long non-coding RNA. RefSeq lists it as uncharacterized. The record is from RefSeq and is a predicted model, not a curated record. Lineage: Eukaryota; Metazoa; Chordata; Mammalia; Eulipotyphla; Talpidae. The transcript is spliced from 3 exons.
GCAGGCAUCUGAGGAAAAGCUUUCUUGGAGCAUCUGUGGCCCCCCAUUUGGGCCUAGCAUCCCCACCCUGUGACAUGGAGAAGCCCUAGGCAGGGAUUGUUCUGGGAUGCUAUGCAGCCUUUUCCAUGGAGAUGUCAAUCAGGAUCGGGAUCAGUGUUGAUUGCAUGCCCUGAUGUGCUGGACAUGUCAUGGGAGUUAACUGCUUAAGUCACAUUUCAAGGAUUGUCUGCACUUAAAGGAUGAGCCGAUUGAGGUCCAGGGACGCUAAUCAUGGAGAAUUUACAAGUCAAACACUGGACUCUCUGAUCUCAAUUCCUUAAAAGUCACAGUGGAAGAUGAUGUUUAGGCCACAGACAGAUGGCUGCCAGCCCUGGGCAUGCGGGGAGUGUCUCCAUCACUAACCGUGGAGGGAGCUCAUACCCACUCAAUGUCAUUUCCACAGCUGCCUCCUGCUGGAUAGAUAACUGGGGUCUCUAGAGCUGGGCCAUCACCACGAUCUCUUACCUCCCUGCCAGGCUCUAUCCUGAGACCCAGAAACUGUUCUGGGAUGUUCCCUGGGCUCCUCUCAGAAUUCUGCCUCUGCACCAGUCACUGGAAAUGUGCAGUCGAGUGCAGAUAGCUAUGGCCAGUGAGUCUCACUGUGAAGGAAUGGGGCUCACUCUGGUGGAUGCACCACAGUCUCUUGCUGAUACACAGGUUCUUGCUUGGCCCCAGGAGGAAUCCACCAGGAGUGGAAUUGCUGCGUCACAGGAAGACCGGCCUUCAGAGAAAAAUGGGUUUGAUCUGAAGUCGCCCUACUGUAAAGUGACAGAAAGCAACGGAUAUUUGUUUAAACAGACUCAGCCAAGUAAAACAUCCUUUGGGCAGAUUCAGCCGGCUGGCGGCCAGCUCAGCUUGGGCUUGACCUUCUCUAUGAGUCCUAAUAGCCUACGAUUGAUUACAUUUGUAUUUUGUCUUGCUCUUAAGCCUUUAUAACUUUUUUCUUUAUAAAAGAACUAUAAUCCCAUUACCGAAAAUUCAGAAAGUAGAGAAAAGAAAAAAAAAAAAAUUGGCCUCUUCAAGCAAACACAUAGUAUCUUUGCAUCUUUUGUUCUAGCUCUUUCUCCCUUGUGCAUAUGUGGUUUUUUGUUUGUUGUUUGU